ACCCUCCAACCAGGAAAGAUGCCGUCCCUGGCGGGACAGCAGAGGAGCUCAACACAGAGACAGGGGCAACUAUCCCUCCAGCCCUCUCACGGAAGCCACACGACUCAGUCUCUCCCUCUGACUUUGGCACCCUCUGAGCCACUGUCCCUCUGACGGAGUCCAAGGUGAAUGCCAGCAGGAUAUAAGUCUAAAGAAUCACAGAACCUUCCAUUCGGACAUCAUUUUGGAUUACUGAUUUCAGUCUCUCAUCUAUUUUGUGAAGAUCCUCCUGCCACCCUGACAGAGGGACCAUCGAGCUUCUGUUUUACUAUCAAUCUCUCUGGAAGAACAUUCCCAAGCCCUGGGGACCACGUGGAUGGAUGCCUGUC
Long non-coding RNA from Eptesicus fuscus (big brown bat), 368 nucleotides. RefSeq lists it as uncharacterized. NCBI's taxonomy places the organism in Eukaryota, Metazoa, Chordata, Mammalia, Chiroptera, Vespertilionidae. The transcript is spliced from 3 exons. The record is from RefSeq and is a predicted model, not a curated record.